CUGCAGUCGCACGAGAAAGUGGAGCAAUCCAUGAGUAAAGUGGCGUACGGGUGAGUAACACGUGGGUAAUCUACCUCUUAGUGGGGAAUAACCUGGGGAAACCCGGGCUAAUACCGCAUAAGCUCGAGAGAGGAAAGCAGCAAUGCGCUGAGAGAGGAGCCCGCGGCCGAUUAGCUAGUUGGGAGGGUAAAAGCCUACCAAGGCAAAGAUCGGUAGCCGGCCUGAGAGGGCACACGGCCACACUGGCACUGAAACACGGGCCAGACUCCUACGGGAGGCAGCAGUGGGGAAUCUUGCACAAUGGGGGCAACCCUGAUGCAGCGACGCCGCGUGAGCGAUGAAGCCCUUCGGGGUGUAAAGCUCUUUCGGCAGGGAAGAUGAUGACGGUACCUGCAGAAGCAGCUGCGGCUAACUACGUGCCAGCAGCCGCGGUAAUACCUAGGCAGCGAGCGUUGUUCCGAGUUACUGGGCGUAAAGGGUGUGUAGGCGGUUCUUUAAGUUUGGUGUGAAAUCUCCCGGCUCAACCGGGAGGGUGCGCCGAAUACUCAGGGACUCGAGUGCGCGAGACCAAAUGGAAUUCCUGGUGUACGGCUAAAUCCGCUAGAUCUUAGGAGGAACACCGGUGUUCUAAACUGCCUUCUUGACCGUAACUUGCUUC
Molecule: ribosomal RNA, 658 nt
Filed under: uncultured bacterium
Lineage: Bacteria
Description: bacterial SSU rRNA
Rfam family: Bacterial small subunit ribosomal RNA
Source: RNAcentral